CUCAGCAAAGACCUGCAGGGCUGUGGGGCAUGCUGCUCAGCUGACGGGGCUCUUUGCUUGUUCACGGUGCUCUUUCUCGAAGGGGCCCCAGUGACAGAGCCAUUCACAAGCACGGGCCAUAAAUGACCGAGUUGAACACCACAUUAAGCACUGCAUUCUCAGAAACCAGCAUCAGCUCUGGACCACAGCCAAAAUGCCAGGAACGAAAGGUAAUAAGUCGGACAAGAAGUCAGCUACCAAGCAACCUCAGAGUCCUAAAGAGCAGCCGAAGAAAGGUGAUCAGAAAGGAGAUGAUAACAAGAAGCAAGGAGGACAGCCGAAGGGAGAGAAGCAAUAACUUCCAGGCAUUUGUGAAGAUGGCUUUGGAGACACUGCUGGGGUCCUGUCGUCGUAAACAUGGGGGUCCUCGGGGCAGACAGGGCUGAACGUCCCUCCCCUCCGCACUUUUCCCCCAGAGCCUGCAGACUGCAGUGCCGUUGUGUGGCCUUGCAAUUUAGAAUCUGCUCACCUCACACAGAGACAGAAAGUGAACCUGAGCUCCAUCCAUCACCAUCUGUUGUUCCUUCCCCCCCACCUCUCAACCUUUUGCUGUCCCCUUUCCCACACUGUCCCCUCAUUGGAUGCUCAGAAAGAGACUCCAGGUUAGACCGGAUAAUUGCUUUGAGCAAAAAAAAAACCCCCAAAAAACCCCAAAACACCCUUUUAGAAUCCUUCCCUAACUCACCCUCCUAGCACGACUGACUGUCCAACAGUGCAAUCAUUCUUUUUGUAAAUAAUGACUCAAAUAAACAACUAUUUCUUACAGCAGUUCAUGUGUGACUGACUUCUAUUUUUACCCGACAUCCAAACAUCUUUGCAAUGUUCGCAUGGAAAUAAACAAAAACAGCAUUCCAGG
Molecule: long non-coding RNA, 895 nt
Organism: Amphiprion ocellaris (clown anemonefish)
Lineage: Eukaryota; Metazoa; Chordata; Actinopteri; Pomacentridae
Source: Ensembl